Long non-coding RNA from Episyrphus balteatus (marmalade hoverfly), 1537 nucleotides. RefSeq lists it as uncharacterized. NCBI's taxonomy places the organism in Eukaryota, Metazoa, Arthropoda, Insecta, Diptera, Syrphidae. The transcript is spliced from 5 exons. The record is from RefSeq and is a predicted model, not a curated record.
AGGAAGGAAUACCUAGAGACCCGACUCGUACCCCCCUUGCCUAAAACACCCGCAAAUUUCAUUUAAGGUGAAUAGAAGAGAACUCUCUUAUUUUACUCUUUUUUUCUUAUCCAUGAAUACGUGUGAGUGGUGGAUUCAGAAAAAAGAUGGCGGUUGUAGCUCAAAAAAAAAUUUAAAGUGACAGCUGACAGCUCUCAAUUUCUGAUAAUUAUUUUGUUUUGGUUGCGAAAUAAAAGUUUUUUCCAAGUUUUUCCGCGACAAUUUCUUUUAUAAAUAAAGGUGCAAAAGAUAGUUAAGAAUAAUGUUAAUUAAUAAAUAAUCGUCCAAUUCUGAAUUAAAACUCUCGGAGAAAUGUGUUGCGUAAAACGGCUUUAUAUUAAAAUUUCGUGAAUAUAGUUUCCUCUCCUUUUUAAUUUUGUGUAAACUAAAAUAAAUACAUUUGUGCGCUUGGAGAAGCAAGACCUCCUAUUUACCGCCGAGUCCUUUCAUGACAAUGAUACUCUUGCCAAUUCCUUCGUCUAAAUACAAAUCAGCUAUUUAACGAAUGGUGGGGGAAGCGGCGGUGGAUCCCAGCAUCUGCAACAGCAGCAACAGCCACCACCACGGCUUCAUCCGAAAAAAAACUAAAAUUUGACCCAGCUGAGCUGGAGAGAAUGAACCAUCCAAAAGUACAGCAACUGCUAAUAUCGGACCAACAUGGAAAGUCCCGAUAAGAAAAUAAUCAUAGCGAGUCCUCAAAAUACUUACAAAUUCCAAAACCUACAAACCAUAACAAAAACGCAACAACAAUACAACAUUUCUUAUCAACAGCAACAAUACUUCAUCUGUUGGAUUACCUGAUUUAAAUGAAUGGACCAAUACAAGGCUGUGUCUUCAUCGAAGGGUCUGCCACUGAAAUCAAUUUGAACACCAAGCACUUUUCAGUACAAAUCGGGGAUUCAAACUCUGCACAAAUAUAAUAAAAACAGUCAAAUUAGUGGCUAUGCUAUGGACGGCGAAGUAGAGAAACUAUCAGGUGGCAGUAAAAGAAGCAGCAAUGCAAAGUCGAGGCAGCACUCAUAGUCUGCUCGAUCAGAGGGUCACCCCACGAUCUCAUCCAGCAACUCCAAGAUCUCAAGCGACAACACCCCAUCGUUUUAAGAAGGGCGAUGUCGUUCAAUCGGAAUCUGGUGUACGUUAGAAAUUCAAUGGAAUAAAAUGGCACCGAUUGUGUUCAAAUCAAUCGUGUUUGAAAGAAUCUCAACGAAGAGGUUAUUGUUCAAGGCAUUUGAACCAAAAAAAAUUUAAAUUCAUUUCAUGGACCCCUUUUACAUCAUUCUUUAUAAGUACCUAUUCUGAUGAAACAAAAAAUUAACUCAGUUUUUUGAUGUAAAAUGCUUUGCUUCAGAGAAACAACUAUAUAAAUUAUAUAAUGUUAGAGGAAAAAUAAUGUGUUAAACAAAAAGCACGAGGAUCUAACGUGCAGUUUCCGAAGGACGACCCGCUUCAUGAACACUAUUUUUUAUUGGUUUGUCUAGAAACAAGAAGACGAUGGAAG